CUGACCUCGGAUCAGGUAGGGAUACCCGCUGAACUUAAGCAUAUCAAUAAGCGGAGGAA
RNAcentral lists this ribosomal RNA (59 nucleotides) under Heterodermia lamelligera. RNAcentral describes it as "partial 28S ribosomal RNA". It matches the Rfam family "Eukaryotic large subunit ribosomal RNA", at positions 1 to 58 of the family's 3401-position model. The record is from RNAcentral. Lineage: Eukaryota; Fungi; Ascomycota; Lecanoromycetes; Caliciales; Physciaceae.